GAUGAACGCUGGCGGCGUGCCUAAUACAUGCAAGUCGAGCGAACGGACGAGAAGCUUGCUUCUCUGAUGUUAGCGGCGGACGGGUGAGUAACACGUGGAUAACCUACCUAUAAGACUGGGAUAACUUCGGGAAACCGGAGCUAAUACCGGAUAAUAUUUUGAACCGCAUGGUUCAAAAGUGAAAGACGGUCUUGCUGUCACUUAUAGAUGGAUCCGCGCUGCAUUAGCUAGUUGGUAAGGUAACGGCUUACCAAGGCAACGAUGCAUAGCCGACCUGAGAGGGGGAUCGGCCACACUGGAACUGAGACACGGUCCAGACUCCUAAGGGAGGCAGCAGAAGGGAAUCUUCCGCAAUGGGCGAAAGCCUGACGGAGCAACGCCGCGUGAGUGAUGAAGGUGUUCGGAUCGUAAAACUCGGUUAUUAGGGAAGAACAUAUGUGGAAGUAACUGUGCACAGCUUGACGGUACCUAAUCAGAAAGCCACGGCUAACUACGUG
Molecule: ribosomal RNA, 497 nt
Filed under: uncultured bacterium
Lineage: Bacteria
Description: partial 16S ribosomal RNA
Rfam family: Bacterial small subunit ribosomal RNA
Source: RNAcentral